Molecule: non-coding RNA, 31 nt
Filed under: Rattus norvegicus (Norway rat)
Lineage: Eukaryota; Metazoa; Chordata; Mammalia; Rodentia; Muridae
Source: RNAcentral
UUCGAGGUGGACUUUGCAUGCUUUACUUUGU